This 462-nucleotide ribosomal RNA is filed under the name uncultured bacterium. RNAcentral describes it as "partial 16S ribosomal RNA". It matches the Rfam family "Bacterial small subunit ribosomal RNA", at positions 28 to 507 of the family's 1533-position model. The record is from RNAcentral.
GACGAACGCUGGCGGCGUGCUUAACACAUGCAAGUCGAACGGAAAGGCCCUUCGGGGUGCCCGAGUGGCGAACGGGUGGGUAACACGUGGGUGAUCUGCCCUGCACUUUGGGAUAAGCCUGGGAAACUGGGUCUAAUACCGAAUAGGACCACGCGCCUCAGGGUUUGGGGCGGCAAGCGUUUGCGGUGUGGGAUGGGCCCGCGGCCUAUCAGCUUGUUGGUGGGGUAAUGGCCUACCAAGGCGACGACGGGUAGCCGGCCUGAGAGGGUGACCGGCCACACUGGGACUGAGCUACGGCCCAGACUCCUCCGGGAGGCGGCAGUGGGGAAUAUUGCACAAUGGGCGCAAGCCUGAUGCAGCGACGCCGCGUGAGGGAUGACGGCCUUCGGGUUGUAAACCUCUUUCAAUAGGGACGAAGCGCAAGUGACGGUACCUAUAGAAGAAGCACCGGCCAACUACGUG